This 468-nucleotide ribosomal RNA is filed under the name uncultured bacterium. RNAcentral's name for it is "partial 16S ribosomal RNA". It matches the Rfam family "Bacterial small subunit ribosomal RNA", at positions 28 to 507 of the family's 1533-position model. The record is from RNAcentral.
GACGAACGCUGGCGGCGCGCCUAACACAUGCAAGUCGAACGGAGUCAAGAGGAGCUUGCUUUUCUUGACUUAGUGGCGAACGGGUGAGUAACGCGUGAGUAACCUGCCCUGGAGUGGGGGACAACAGUUGGAAACGACUGCUAAUACCGCAUAAGCCCACGGAUCCGCAUGGAUCUGCGGGAAAAGGAUUUAUUCGCUUCAGGAUGGACUCGCGUCCAAUUAGCUAGUUGGUGAGGUAACGGCCCACCAAGGCGACGAUUGGUAGCCGGACUGAGAGGUUGAACGGCCACAUUGGGACUGAGACACGGCCCAGACUCCUACGGGAGGCAGCAGUGGGGGAUAGUGCACAAUGGGGGAAACCCUGAUGCAGCGACGCCGCGUGGAGGAAGAAGGUUUUCGGAUUGUAAACUCCUGUCGUUAGGGACGAUAAUGACGGUACCUAACAAGAAAGCACCGGCUAACUACGUG